AGGACGAACGCUGGCGGCGUGCUUAACACAUGCAAGUCGAGCGGUAAGGCCCUUCGGGGUACACGAGCGGCGAACGGGUGAGUAACACGUGGGUGACCUGCCCUCCACUUCGGGAUAAGCCUGGGAAACUGGGUCUAAUACCGGAUAUGACUUCUGGGUGCAUGCCUGGUUGUGGAAAGUUUUUUCGGCUGGGGAUGGGCCCGCGGCCUAUCAGCUUGUUGGUGGGGUGAUGGCCUACCAAGGCGACGACGGGUA
RNAcentral lists this ribosomal RNA (255 nucleotides) under uncultured bacterium. Its description in RNAcentral is "partial small subunit ribosomal RNA". It matches the Rfam family "Bacterial small subunit ribosomal RNA", at positions 26 to 285 of the family's 1533-position model. The record is from RNAcentral.